This 403-nucleotide ribosomal RNA is filed under the name uncultured bacterium. RNAcentral's name for it is "partial 16S ribosomal RNA". It matches the Rfam family "Bacterial small subunit ribosomal RNA", at positions 30 to 526 of the family's 1533-position model. The record is from RNAcentral.
AUUGAACGCUGGCGGCAGGCCUAACACAUGCAAGUCGAGCGAGCGGCGGACGGGUGAGUAAUGUAUGGGGACUGCCCGAUAGAGGGGGAUAACUACUGGAAACGGUAGCUCAUACCGCAUACUAUCGGAUAACCCAUAUGGGAUUAGCUAGUAGGUGAGGUAAUGGAUCACCUAGGCGACGAUCCCUAGCUGGUCUGAGAGGAUGAUCAGUCACACUGGAACUGAGAAACGGCCCAGACUCCGACGGAGGCAGCAGUGGGGAAUAUUGCACAAUGGGAGAAAGCCUGAUGCAGCCAUGCCGCGUGUAUGAAGAAGGCCCUCGGAUUGUAAAGUACUUUAAGUCGGGAGGCGUUACCGACAGAAGAAGCACCGGCUAACUCCGUGCCAGCCGCCGCGGUAAUUC